RNAcentral lists this ribosomal RNA (460 nucleotides) under uncultured bacterium. RNAcentral's name for it is "partial 16S ribosomal RNA". It matches the Rfam family "Bacterial small subunit ribosomal RNA", at positions 338 to 795 of the family's 1533-position model. The record is from RNAcentral.
CCUACGGGAGGCAGCAGUGAGGAAUAUUGGUCAAUGGACGACAGUCUGAACCAGCCAAGUAGCGUGAAGGAUGACUGCCCUAUGGGUUGUAAACUUCUUUUAUAUGGGAGUAAAAUGUUCCACGUGUGGGAUUUUGUAUGUACCAUAUGAAUAAGGACCGUCUAACUACGUGCCAGCAUCCGUGUUAAUACGGAGUAUCCGAGCGUUAUCCGGAUUUGUUGGGAUUAAAGGGAGCGUAGGUGGCUUGUUAAGUCAGUUGUGAAAGUUUGCGGCUCAACCGUAAAAUUGCAGUUGAAACUGGCAGUCUUGAGUACAGUAGAGGUGGGCGGACUGCGUGGUGUAGCGGUGAAAUGCUUAGAUAUCACGAAGAACUCCGAUUGCGAAGGCAGUUCACUGGACUGCAACUGACACUGAGGCUCGAAAGUGUGGGUAUCAAACAGGAUUAGAUACCCCAGUAGUC